RNAcentral lists this transfer RNA (73 nucleotides) under Caligus rogercresseyi. It matches the Rfam family "tRNA". From Rfam's summary of the family: Transfer RNA (tRNA) molecules are approximately 80 nucleotides in length. Their secondary structure includes four short double-helical elements and three loops (D, anti-codon, and T loops). The record is from Rfam by way of RNAcentral. Lineage: Eukaryota; Metazoa; Arthropoda; Copepoda; Siphonostomatoida; Caligidae.
GGUCCGUUAGCUCAGCUGGUUAGAGCGUCGUGCAAUUAACGUGAAAGUCACGGGUUCGAUCCCCUACGGGCCA